CCUACGGGAGGCAGCAGUGGGGAAUAUUGCACAAUGGGCGAAAGCCUGAUGCAGCAACGCCGCGUGAGUGAUGAAGGCCUUCGGGUCGUAAAACUCUGUCCUCAAGGAAGAUAAUGACGGUACUUGAGGAGGAAGCCCCGGCUAACUACGUGCCAGCAGCCGCGGUAAUACGUAGGGGGCUAGCGUUAUCCGGAUUUACUGGGCGUAAAGGGUGCGUAGGUGGUUUUUUAAGUCAGGAGUGAAAGGCUACGGCUCAACCGUAGUAAGCUCUUGAAACUGGAAAACUUGAGUGCAGGAGAGGAAAGUGGAAUUCCUAGUGUAGCGGUGAAAUGCGUAGAUAUUAGGAGGAACACCAGUAGCGAAGGCGGCUUUCUGGACUGUAACUGACACUGAGGCACGAAAGCGUGGGGAGCAAACA
Molecule: ribosomal RNA, 418 nt
Filed under: uncultured Clostridium sp.
Lineage: Bacteria; Bacillati; Bacillota; Clostridia; Eubacteriales; Clostridiaceae
Description: bacterial SSU rRNA
Rfam family: Bacterial small subunit ribosomal RNA
Source: RNAcentral